GAUGAACGCUGGCGGCGUGCUUAACACAUGCAAGUCGAACGGAAAGGCCCAAGCUUGCUUGGGUACUCGAGUGGCGAACGGGUGAGUAACACGUGGGUGAUCUGCCCUGCACUUCGGGAUAAGCCUGGGAAACUGGGUCUAAUACCGGAUAGGACCACAUUUUGGAUGGUGUGGUGGAAAGUUUUUCGGUGUGGGAUGAGCUCGCGGCCUAUCAGCUUGUUGGUGGGGUAAUGGCCUACCAAGGCGUCGACGGGUAGCCGGCCUGAGAGGGUGUACGGCCACAUUGGGACUGAGAUACGGCCCAGACAGCUACGGGAGGGAGAAGUGGGGAAUAUUGCACAAUGGGCGCAAGGCGGAUGCAGCGACGCCGCGUGGGGGAUGACGGCCUUCGGGUUGUAAACUCCUUUCGCUAGGGACGAAGCGUUAUGUGACGGUACCUGGAGAAGAAGCACCGGCUAACUACGUG
This 466-nucleotide ribosomal RNA is filed under the name uncultured bacterium. Its description in RNAcentral is "partial 16S ribosomal RNA". It matches the Rfam family "Bacterial small subunit ribosomal RNA", at positions 28 to 507 of the family's 1533-position model. The record is from RNAcentral.